AUGAGCACGAUACUCAUCGCCAUGUAUUUUCUUCUGAUGUUCUCGGCAGCUGCUCCGCGAGUCGAUGGAACCGCCGGAGGGAUCUUGCAGAUCCCUUCAAGUGACUCCUUGGCUAAGUGCAUCUCAAGGUGCGGGGACAUCGACAUCUUCUAUCCCUUUGGUAUUGGGUCCGGUUGCUUCCGUUUAGGCUUCGACCUCACCUGCAACAGCUCCACCAAGCAUCCAAAGCUCUUUUUAGGCAGCAGCACUGCCCAGGUCACAUACAUGUACUCCAGCGGAGGUCUGGGGACCCCUAUAUUCUUCAACCUUACAACGAGGCCAGGUACAAAUACCUACAACAUGUCUUGGGAGGCCCCUGUUAAAGGUAUUACUAUCGCUAGUGAUAAUAUUUUGUACGUAGCUGGUUGUGAUUUUGACGUCACCUUGUUCGAGUAUGGUACGGGAGACAUGGUUGGUUCUUGUAUGAGUAGAUGUGCGGGCAAGAAGGCACCAACUGGAGUUUCUUGUAAUGGAAUAGGCUGCUGCCUCAUCCAAUUACCAAGGGACCUGCCAGGCUUUCGUGCAGAACUUGUCAGCACUAAUACUACUGCAACACAAUCUGAUUGGUUCCACCCUGGCAUCAUGGCUUUCGUGUCUAUGAUUUAUUACAAUACAACCGCUAUUUUCUCGAGUUGGACAGAUCCAAGCAAUAUUUUUGACGCGAUGCUUAGUGUUACCAUCGUGGACCAACCAAGCUGUCAAAGUGCACAAAUGAACAAGGCAAGCUAUGCCUGUAGCAUCGGUAGCAGUUGCCAGAAUUCCUCAUCUGGUGGUUACAACUGUGACUGCUCUUCUUAUCGACAAGGCAACCCUUACAUUUUAGAUGGAUGCAUGCAAGAUUAUAACCCCAAGCCCAAAAAACACUGUCCUGCAUCAUGUCGACGCAUUACUGUUCCCUUCCCCUUUGGUCUUGAAGAAGGGUGCUAUGCAAAUGAAAGAUUUCGUCUUAAUUGUACAUCUGGUGAUCUCAUAUUUUCUCUCUCAAUUGCACAAUAUCUUGUGACUGAUAUAUCCGUGGAAGAUGGGACUUUGUUUGUUAGCAACAUGGUGAAGGGAAGUAAAGCUCAAGAGGUAGUAAUUAUCCAGACUGACAGUGCUGGACAUGGAUGGGACUCGGGCCCCCCUAUGGAAGAUCAAUUUGAUUUCUCUAUGGAGUACAACAUUGUUAUGAAGUGGGCGGUUGCCAAUUUAAUUUGUCAAGCAGCUAAGAAAAAUGAUACUACUUAUGCAUGCCGCAGUUCCCACAGCUAUUGCCUAAACGUUACCCAUGGGGAAAUAUUUAUGGGAUACCGUUGCAAGUGCUCUUUAGGCUUUCAAGGAAAUCCGUACAUCAAAGAUGGCUGCAUAGAUAUCGAUGAAUGUGCACUAUCAAGCAACUGCAAUGGGAGAUGUCAAAAUUUUCUUGGAGGCUACACAUGCACGAGUUGCCCUCAUAGAAAAGAGUUUGAUCCAAUAAAGCAGAAGUGUGUUACAUCAGCCAAGCAACACAAUCUUCUUUUGGGUAUCGCAAUUGGAACUGGAUGUGGCCUUGGCUCUAUAAUUAUUGCAUUCUGUCUAAUUCUAUUCACCAAUAAGUGGAAGAAAGGCAUCAAGAAGAGAAUCCGACUAGCACACUUCAAGAAAAAUCAAGGCCUACUCUUGGAGCAGCUGAUCUCAGAUGAAAGCGCCACAAACAAAACAAAGAUAUUCUCCUUGGAGGAGCUAGAGAAGGCAACCAACAACUUCGAUGUCGCUCGUGUUCUUGGUCGUGGAGGGCAUGGUACAGUUUAUAAAGGGAUUCUAUCUGACCAACGGGUGGUAGCUAUUAAAAAAUCCAAAAUUGUGGAGCAAACUGAGAUAGACCAGUUUAUCAAUGAGGUUGCUAUCUUGUCUCAAAUCAUUCAUCGAAAUGUGGUAAAGCUCUUCGGUUGUUGCCUUGAAUCUGAAGUGCCUUUGCUUGUGUACGAGUUCAUAUCUAAUGGCACACUGCAUGACCUACUUCACAUUGACGUUGGUGUUAAAUGCUUGCUGUCUUGGGAUGAUCGCAUUAGGAUUGCAGUAGAAGCAGCAGGAGCACUUGCUUAUCUGCACUCGGCUGCUGCAAUACCAAUUUUCCAUAGAGACGUGAAAUCUUCUAAUAUUCUAUUGAACAGCAGCUUCGCCACAAAGGUUUCUGACUUUGGUGCUUCAAGGUCUCUUUCACUCGAUGAGACACAUGUGGUGACUAUUGUCCAAGGAACAUUUGGUUACCUAGAUCCAGAGUAUUACCAUACUGGGCAGUUAACGGAAAAGAGUGAUGUGUAUAGUUUUGGAGUAAUACUUGUGGAACUUUUGACAAGAAAAAAGCCAAUUUUUAUCAAUGAUCUAGGUGCAAAACAGAACUUGGCCCAUUAUUUCGUGGAAGGAUUGCAAGAGGGAGCUAUCAUGGAAUUAAUGGAUCCUCAGGUUGUCAAAGAGGCAGAUCCGGAAGACAUUGAUGAUAUUUCGUCACUUACAGAAGCAUGCUUGAGACUGAAAGGAAAAGACAGACCUACUAUGAAAGAAGUAGAUAUGAGGUUGCAAUUCCUGCGAACUAAGAGGCUAAGAAAAUGCAAUAUUCUCCCAGAGGUUAGUAACUCUGAUGCACAGAUGCUGCCCAGUUGCUACAGUCUAGAACAAGAACUUUCAUCCUCACUCACUUUGCCACGUUAA
Molecule: ribosomal RNA, 2709 nt
Filed under: Triticum aestivum (bread wheat)
Lineage: Eukaryota; Viridiplantae; Streptophyta; Magnoliopsida; Poales; Poaceae
Description: partial small subunit ribosomal RNA
Source: RNAcentral